Long non-coding RNA from Lathyrus oleraceus (garden pea), 2287 nucleotides. RefSeq lists it as uncharacterized. The transcript is spliced from 5 exons. The record is from RefSeq and is a predicted model, not a curated record. NCBI's taxonomy places the organism in Eukaryota, Viridiplantae, Streptophyta, Magnoliopsida, Fabales, Fabaceae.
AAAAAAACAAAAAUGGAAUCGUCUCUCUCAAUCCCUCUUCUCUCGACUCACCAUCUCAGAUGACGAGAACUCUCAAACACUCAUCUCUCUCAAUCUUCCUAAACUUUCGCUCACUCCAUCACUCUCAAUGUCCUAAACUUUCGCUCACUCCAUCACUCUCAAUGUCCUAAACUUUCACUCACUCCAUCACUCUCAAUGUCUCUCUCGUCCAAACAGCAUGAAAGUUUGGAAGGAAGCUCACCUUCGGUGAAUCGGUAGCCCAGCUUAGGGUUUCGGUUUGAUGCUCAAAGGUUCGAAAGGAGAAAGUUUCCAGAAUCGCUUUUGCUGCUCAGAAACGAGUUGUCUUUUUUUGAUGUUACAAUUCGAAAAUGUGAAAAAUUAUUGAAGACUCAAGAGUGGUUUGGUCCCGGUAUUUGCUCUCUAGGAUGACUCGCUUCACAGCAGUUUCCAAUUGGUCAGCAAAUGCAGGAAACCCAAGAUGCCUAAGCAUCAUUGCCGAUGAAAGGAGGAGUGCCACAGGGUCGGCUUGUGUAUCCAGCAUAUCAGGAUUUAAGUCAUUGACUUUCUCGAUUGCAUCUUCUUAGCUGAACCUAGACUUCUGAAUUACAUGGGAUUUUGCAUAUUUUCACAUUUGAAACCCCUACUCGUAGGUUCUGCAUCAUUGUAAAAAUACUGAUUUUCUUCCUUAAUUUGUUUUCAAUGCAGUAGCCUCCAGAGGAUGACCAUGAGAACUCCCUGUUGGAUGUGAUUCUUUAAAAGUAGAAGACGGAAAUCCAUCGUGUUCAGACCUUGAUCCAAACGAUGCAGGAAGGACGGGUGUAUAAUUUAACAUCAUCCUCUCAACAUCUUCAAAGUUGUCUAUAUCAAACCACCUAUCGGUAUCAAGAAAGUUAAGCUCAUUAUCAGGUUGCGAUACAUGAUUAACUGACUGUUGAGACACACUAUCAUCCUCCAUCAAGCUCCUAGGCGUCCGAGGAGUUCCUGGAAUGGAUGAUUGUUGGAGAAAGCAUGUGCAUGUCAUAACCAUAAUAUGUACAUCAAGAGUUAUGGCGCAUUCGACCCCAUUCAUAUAAGAAAUUGGAUUUCUAGAUAUCAGCCAAGAAGCAAGGACAGUAUCUGCAACCUUAAUGUUUCCAGCAACAUUAAAUGUUUAGAAGGUUGUAUGUGGGUUUGGCAAUGUUUGCUGGUGUAAGUCUUUGUUUCUUUAGCUUCGGCACACCUGUCACAAAUGCCUUUUGAAGCUGUCCACUUAAUCCGGUAGCCUACGGUUUAACAGUCGCCACCUUGUUGGUUUUCCAGAGAUAUACGACAAUGAUUGAAACAAUAACGAAUGCAGCACCCUUCCGUGAUGAUAACAACGAAGACCAUUGUAGGAACUUCACAGACCUUGUUGCUUUAGAUCAACGAAAGCAUCAUCGGAUAUGUGUUUGUCUAACAAUGCAUCCUUGUCGUCAACCGAAGCAUAACAAUUAACACUCCAUUAUAGCUUCUGCUGUGGGGAACCAAACAAUUAUCGGCAGUUACGGUUACGGUUAGGUAAUUUGGUGAGGAGAUGUGCUACAGUGAUAAAGAUGAAUGGCAAUGGCGGUAGUGAAGCAAAUAUGAGACUGGAGUUUGGUUGCUGCAACAACAAAACGGUUUGAGCCUGAGGACCAAACUGAUGCCGGAAUUCACAGGAAGUGUAUCCUUGGUAGACAUGUCACUUCCUACAUGAAGGAUUCGAUUAAAGAUGAACCAGAAGGUGUUUGAGCUUGACGGAUUGAAGAACUUUACAAGAAAGUUCAUGCUGCUAUUAUACAGAUCCUUCAACUAGAAGGGUAUGCAAAUCUCUCUUCAUCAGCAGGCAGUUCAGAAGUGUCAUGUUCAGGUGUAUAAUUAGCUCCUCAGAUUCGCCUUGUUAGUUUUCCUUCAAUCCACUUUUGCGUCUCAAUUUUGGUUGAUGUUGUUACGGUACCGAAUUCGUGGUUGACGUAGCAAUUGAAUGUUCAAAACGCAUUACAAUGCCAUCUGAUGAAUGCUGAAUUCUGCUACUUAACAUGAGAAGCUAAGUUCAUAAGCUUGCCGCCGUAGCUAUUGAUCAUGAAAUCGCGGCAAAGUUGAUGUGGAAAAGCGAAUAAGGAACGCCAUCUGCUUCUGUGAAUGAACAUGCUUCAGACGAGUGCCUUCUUUGACUUUUCUCGUUUUUGGAUUACGUGUAUCUCUGUUUUUCUUGUAAAUUAAAUAUGCCUUGGACAAACUUAUGUUUUGUAAAAAAUGACAUUAUUGUGAAUAAAAAAAAGUUAGCUUC